AAACCGCWUWGAAUUAAACGAAUAGUGCCUCGAAUACCGAUGAUAGAGAGGUUCACUCUUUGUGAGACAAAGUGUGUCGGCGGAGUAUAAUAUAGGUCUUCGGACAGUUUAUUUGCUUCGUUGGCACGUACAUGCUUUGUGUUAGCAAAGUGGGUAUUUUUCUCUAUCGGUAGGGCGUCGUGGCCGGCAAUGUCAUUGCAAAUCCCGGGAGUGAAGGACUUUUUCCGUACGAGCGUACCUCUUUCGGGGGGGAAAUUUGUACGCGAUAAAAGUUUUCGCUUUAUCGUGGUGAGUUUCGACGUUGCCGGGGAGUUUUGCUAGGCGCUAGCUUAACUCGUACAACUUGCAUAUAUGCGUUGUUGGCUAAGGUUGGCUUAUCGUCGGUGUUAUGAGAAUGAACGUCUUUACGGACAGAUUCUCGUAGCGUUUGAUGAUUCUAGGCUGCUUUGGUCGAUGACACGCGUUGUUGCUUUGUUGCUACACGGCGAGUAGGUCGGUCAACUGUUCGACCCGUCUUGAAACACGGACCAAGGAGUCUAACAUGUACGCGAGUCUUAUGAGCCUGCUCAACUCACGAGGCGUAGCGAAAGCGAAAGACGUGAUCCUCAUGAAAUACUGAGGCGCAACGUCGGCCUAUACGGUGGAAUUUAUUUUCCUCGUAUGGAGCUAGAGCGUACAUGUUAGCACCCGAAAGAUGGUGACCUAUGCUUGGGCAAGAUGAAGCCAGGGGAAACCCUGGUGGAGGUCUGCAGCGUUUCUGACGUGCAAAUCGAUCGUCUGACCUGAGUAUAGGGGCGAAAGGCCAAUCGAACCAUCUAGUAGCUGGUUCCUUCCGA
RNAcentral lists this ribosomal RNA (836 nucleotides) under Uroobovella orri. Its description in RNAcentral is "eukaryotic LSU rRNA". It matches the Rfam family "Eukaryotic large subunit ribosomal RNA", at positions 402 to 964 of the family's 3401-position model. The record is from RNAcentral. Lineage: Eukaryota; Metazoa; Arthropoda; Arachnida; Mesostigmata; Urodinychidae.